Molecule: ribosomal RNA, 407 nt
Filed under: uncultured bacterium
Lineage: Bacteria
Description: partial 16S ribosomal RNA
Rfam family: Bacterial small subunit ribosomal RNA
Source: RNAcentral
AUUGAACGCUGGCGGCAGGCCUAACACAUGCAAGUCGCGCGGAGCGGCGGACGGGAGAGUAAGGCCUAGGAAUCUGCCUGGUAGUGGGGGAUAACGCCCGGAACCGGGCGCUCAUAAAGCAUACGAGACGAUUAGCCUAGGUCGGAUUAGAUAGUUGGUGGGGUAAAGGCCUACCAAGGUGAGGAUCCGUAACUGGUGUGAGAGGAUGAUCAGCCACACUGGAACUGAGACACGGUCCAGACUCCUACGGGUGGCAGCAGUGGGGAAUAUUGGACAAUGGGCGAAAGCCUGAUCCAGCCAUGCCGCGUGUGUGAAGAAGGUCUUCGGAUUGUAAAGCACUUUAAGUUGUGAGGCGUUACCAACAGAAUAAGCACCGGCUAACGUCGUGCCAGCAGCCGCGGUAAUUC